ACAGGGAUUGCCCUAGUAACGGCGAGUGAAGCGGCAACAGCUCAAAUUUGAAAUCUGGCUCUUUUAGAGUCCGAGUUGUAAUUUGCAGAGGGCGCUUUGGCGUUGGCAGCGGUCCAAGUUCCUUGGAACAGGACGUCACAGAGGGUGAGAAUCCCGUACGUGGUCGCUGGCCUUCGCCGUGUAAAGCCUCUUCGACGAGUCGAGUUGUUUGGGAAUGCAGCUCUAAAUGGGAGGUAAAUUUCUUCUAAAGCUAAAUACUGGCCAGAGACCGAUAGCGCACAAGUAGAGUGAUCGAAAGAUGAAAAGUACUUUGGAAAGAGAGUCAAAUAGCACGUGAAAUUGUUAAAAGGGAAGCGCUUGCAGCCAGACUUGCCUGUAGUUGCUCAUCUAGGCUUUUGCCUGGUGCACUCUUCUAUAGGCAGGCCAGCAUCAGUUUGGGCGGUUGGAUAAAGUUCUCGAUCAUGUACCUCCUCUCGGGGAGGCCUUAUAGGGGAGAUGACAUACAACCAGCCUGGACUGAGGUCCGCGCAUUCGCUAGGAUGCUGGCGUAAUGGCUGUAAGCGGCCCGUCUUGAAACACGGACCAAGGAGUCUAACAUCUAUGCGAGUGUUUGGGUGUCAAGCCCGAACGCGCAAUGAAAGUGAACGGAGGUGGGAACCCUUAAGGGUGCACCAUCGACCGAUCCUGAUGUCUUCGGAAGGAUUUGAGUAAGAGCAUAGCUGUUGGGACCCGAAAGAUGGUGAACUAUGCUUGAAUAGGGUGAAGCCAGAGGAAACUCUGGUGGAGGCUCGCAGCGGUUCUGACGUGCAAAUCGAUCGUCAAAUUUGGGCAUAGGGGCGAAAGACUAAUCGAACUAUCUAGUAGCUGGUUCCUGCCGAAGUUUCCCUCAGGAUAGCAGUAACGUAUUCAGUUUUAUGAGGUAAAGCGAAUGAUUAGAGGCCUAGGGGUUGAAACAACCUUCACCUAUUCUCAAACUUUAAAUAUGUAAGAAGUCCUUGUUACUUAAUUGAACGUGGACACUUGAAUGUACCGUUACUAGUGGGCCAUUUUUGGUAAGCAGAACUGGCGAUGCGGGAUGAACCGAACGCGGGGUUAAGGUGCCAGAAUACACGCUCAUCAGACACCACAAAAGGUGUUAGUUCAUCUAGACAGCAGGACGGUGGCCAUAGAAGUCGGAAUCCGCUAAGGAGUGUGUAACAACUCACCUGCCGAAUGAACUAGCCCUGAAAAUGGAUGGCGCUCAAGCGUGUUACCCAUACCCCGCCGCCGGGGCAAGAUUUAAGCCCCGGCGAGUAGGCAGGCGUGGAGGCUCGUGACGAAGCCUUGG
This 1327-nucleotide ribosomal RNA is filed under the name Leptosphaeria epilobii. RNAcentral's name for it is "LSU rRNA". It matches the Rfam family "Eukaryotic large subunit ribosomal RNA", at positions 68 to 1414 of the family's 3401-position model. Lineage: Eukaryota; Fungi; Ascomycota; Dothideomycetes; Pleosporales; Leptosphaeriaceae. The record is from RNAcentral.